RNAcentral lists this ribosomal RNA (465 nucleotides) under uncultured bacterium. RNAcentral's name for it is "partial 16S ribosomal RNA". It matches the Rfam family "Bacterial small subunit ribosomal RNA", at positions 338 to 795 of the family's 1533-position model. The record is from RNAcentral.
CCUACGGGUGGCAGCAGUGGGGAAUAUUGCGCAAUGGGCGAAAGCCUGACGCAGCGACGCCGCGUGAGGGAUGAAGGUCUUCGGAUCGUAAACCUCUGUCAGCAGGGAAGAACGGUCACUGUGCUAAUCAGCAGUGAAUUGACGGUACCUGCAAAGGAAGCACCGGCUAACUCCGUGCCAGCAGCCGCGGUAAUACGGAGGGUGCGAGCGUUAAUCGGAAUUACUGGGCGUAAAGCGCUCGUAGGCGGUAUGUCAAGUCAAGGGUGAAAUCCCCGCGCUCAACGUGGGAACUGCCUUUGAAACUGGCAGACUGGAGUGUGUGAGAGGAUAGUGGAAGUCCAGGUGGAGGAGUGAAAUCCGUAGAUAUCUGGAGGAACAUCAGUGGCGAAGGCGACUAUCUGGCACAUAACUGACGCUGAGGAGCGAAAGCGUGGGUAGCAAACAGGAUUAGAUACCCUAGUAGUC